AUUGAACGCUGGCGGCAUGCUUUACACAUGCAAGUCGAACGGCAGCGCGGGCUUCGGCCUGGCGGCGAGUGGCGAACGGGUGAGUAAUGCAUCGGAACGUGCCCAGUAGUGGGGGAUAGCCCGGCGAAAGCCGGAUUAAUACCGCAUACGACCUGAGGGUGAAAGCGGGGGACCGAAAGGCCUCGCGCUAUUGGAGCGGCCGAUGUCGGAUUAGCUAGUUGGUGGGGUAAAGGCUUACCAAGGCGACGAUCCGUAGCUGGUCUGAGAGGACGACCAGCCACACUGGGACUGAGACACGGCCCAGACUCCUACGGGAGGCAGCAGUGGGGAAUUUUGGACAAUAGGGGCAACCCUGAUCCAGCCAUGCCGCGUGCGGGAAGAAGGCCUUCGGGUUGUAAACCGCUUUUGUUCGGGAAGAAAUCCUCUGGGCUAAUACCCCGGGGGGAUGACGGUACCGGAAGAAUAAGCACCGGCUAACUACGUGC
RNAcentral lists this ribosomal RNA (485 nucleotides) under uncultured bacterium. Its description in RNAcentral is "partial 16S ribosomal RNA". It matches the Rfam family "Bacterial small subunit ribosomal RNA", at positions 29 to 508 of the family's 1533-position model. The record is from RNAcentral.